RNAcentral lists this ribosomal RNA (500 nucleotides) under uncultured bacterium. Its description in RNAcentral is "partial 16S ribosomal RNA". It matches the Rfam family "Bacterial small subunit ribosomal RNA", at positions 30 to 523 of the family's 1533-position model. The record is from RNAcentral.
AUUGAACGCUGGCGGAAUGCUUUACACAUGCAAGUCGAACGGCAGCACGGACUUCGGUCUGGUGGCGAGUGGCGAACGGGUGAGUAAUGUAUCGGAACGUGCCCAGUCGUGGGGGAUAACGUAGUGAAAAUUACGCUAAUACCGCAUACGAUCUAUGGAUGAAAGCGGGGGAUCGCAAGACCUCGCGCGAUUGGAGCGGCCGAUAUCAGAUUAGGUAGUUGGUGGGGUAAAGGCCCACCAAGCCAACGAUCUGUAGCUGGUCUGAGAGGACGACCAGUCACACUGGAACUGAGGCACGGUCCAGACUCCUACGGGAGGCAGCAGUGGGGAAUUUUGGACAAUGGGCGAAAGCCUGAUCCAGCCAUUCCGCGUGCAGGAUGAAGGCCCUCGGGUUGUAAACUGCUUUUGUACAGAACGAAAAGGUUUCUACUAAUACUAGGAGCUCAUGACGGUACUGUAAGAAUAAGCACCGGCUAACUACGUGCCAGCAGCCGCUGUAA